Long non-coding RNA from Diospyros lotus (date-plum), 713 nucleotides. RefSeq lists it as uncharacterized. The transcript has 3 exons. NCBI's taxonomy places the organism in Eukaryota, Viridiplantae, Streptophyta, Magnoliopsida, Ericales, Ebenaceae. The record is from RefSeq and is a predicted model, not a curated record.
CGUUGACUCAUUAAUGUGUCCCCUCCACUGCCAUUCAAUCAUCCACUCUCCAACUACAUAUAUGUUGGUUCGGCGCUCCAAUUUUCUUCCGUCUUCAUCGGUCUUCUCUUCUCAUCCUUUCACUUUCCUUAGUUGCUCCUAUUCUGUCUUCUCCAGUCUUCUCCAAUGGCAAGGAAGGCGGUGCUCAACCUCACGUUCAUGGCGAACGAUGAGACGAGGCGAAGAGCCAUGAAGGCUGUUGCAGAAGUCCCUGGAGUCAAUUCAGUUGCAGCUGAUAUUGGGCAGCACAAACUGACCAUCGCAGGAGAGAUGGAUAUAAUUGUAGUGGCCAAGAAGCUCAAGAAAAUUGGAAAAGUAGACGUCGUAUCAUUCUCGUCAUAAAUUUCUAGAUCUGAUUUCUAGAAAUUUCGAUGGUAUUGAAAGGUUGGAGAUAAGAUGUUUUAUUUAUAUAUAACUCAAAAGGGUAUAUGCAUAAUACGAAAAAUUUAUGCAUAAACUCUUCUUCUUAUAAAUUAAGUCUGUGUUGUAUUACACAAAAGUGAGGAUAAAGGAGGCCCUCUUGAUGUUGAUAUGUUUGCUAUGAAUGCAAUUUGAGUGUAAUAUUAGGUCUGUAUGAUGUAUGUAUAAGCUAGCUUUUGUAUUCAGUGGGAAUCAAAUCUGAUUUUGCCAUUCUGAAUCCUCCUGUGCUUUAAAUAGAAGUUGCUUGUGCAAAA